This 372-nucleotide ribosomal RNA is filed under the name uncultured organism. Its description in RNAcentral is "partial 16S ribosomal RNA". It matches the Rfam family "Bacterial small subunit ribosomal RNA", at positions 527 to 896 of the family's 1533-position model. The record is from RNAcentral.
GUAGGGUGCAAGCGUUAUCCGGAGUUAUUGGGCGUAAAGGGUUCGUAGGCUUUCAAGCAAGUUGUUCUUUAAAGACCGAGGCUCAACCUCGGAAAGGGGAGCAAAACUACUUGAAUUGGAAGGUUUCGGGGCUACUGGAACUUAUCGUGUAGGAGUGAAAUCCGUUGAUAUGAUAAGGAACACCGAGGGCGAAGGCAAGUAGCUAGGAACACUUCGACGCUGAGGGACGAAAGCCAGGGUAGCGAAAGGGAUUAGAGACCCCUGUAGUCCUGGCCGUAAACGAUGCUCGCUAGGGAUGGGAACCUUUAAUGGUUUCCGUCUCGUUAGCUAACGCGUUAAGCGAGCCGCCUGGGGAGUACGAGCGCAAGCUUA